This 504-nucleotide ribosomal RNA is filed under the name uncultured bacterium. Its description in RNAcentral is "partial 16S ribosomal RNA". It matches the Rfam family "Bacterial small subunit ribosomal RNA", at positions 899 to 1397 of the family's 1533-position model. The record is from RNAcentral.
ACUCAAAGGAAUAGACGGGGGCUCACACAAGCGGUGGAGCAUGUUGCUUAAUUCGAAGCAACGCGAAGAACCUUACCUGGGCUUGACAUGUACGGAUUAACUCUAUGAAAGUAGAGCCACGCCUUCGGGUGGAACGUACACAGGUGCUGCAUGGCUGUCGUCAGCUCGUGCUGUGAAGUGUCGGGUUAAGUCCCUUAACGAGCGCAACCCCUGUCGCUAGUUGCCAGCGCGUCAUGGCGGGGACUCUAGCGAGACUGCCGGUGUCAAACCGGAGGAAGGUGGGGAUGACGUCAAGUCCUCAUGGCCCUUACGUCCAGGGAUGCAAACGUGCUACAAUGCCAUGUACAAAGCGAUGCAAGACCGCGAGGUGGAGCAAAUCGCAGAAAGCAUGGCCCAGUUCGGAUUGGAGUCUGCAACCCGACUCCAUGAAGCCGGAAUCGCUAGUAAUCGCGGAUCAGCUAUGCCGCGGUGAAUACGUUCCUGAGCCUUGCACACACCGCCCGU